RNAcentral lists this ribosomal RNA (772 nucleotides) under Microthyrium buxicola. RNAcentral's name for it is "eukaryotic LSU rRNA". It matches the Rfam family "Eukaryotic large subunit ribosomal RNA", at positions 84 to 898 of the family's 3401-position model. The record is from RNAcentral. Lineage: Eukaryota; Fungi; Ascomycota; Dothideomycetes; Microthyriales; Microthyriaceae.
UAACGGCGAGUGAAGCGGCAAGAGCUCAAAUUUUAAAUCUGCCUCACCGAGUUGUAAUUUGCAGAGGAAUAUUCGGUGAAGCCUAGGUCCAAGUCUUCUGGAAGGAAGCGCCGAUGAGGGUGAGAGCCCCGUACGACUGACGGUUGAGCCAUGUGAAUAUCCUUCGAAGAGUCGAGUUGUUUGGGAAUGCAGCUCAAAGCGGGUGGUAAAUUCCAUCUAAAGCUAAAUAUUGGCCAGAGACCGAUAGCGCACAAGUAGAGUGAUCGAAAGAUGAAAAGCACUUUGGAAAGAGAGUGAAACAGUACGUGAAAUUGUUGAAAGGGAAGCGCUCGCAAUCAGACUUGAUUGAUCAGUUCAAGGGUUCUUUUGGACCUGGUACUUCUGUUUGAUCAGGCCAACAUCAGUUCGGACGGUCGGAUAAAAUUGCGGGGAACGUGGCUCUUCGGAGUGUUAUAGCCCUGUAAAGAAUACGGCCCGAUCGGACUGAGGACAGCCUUUGUAGGAUGUUGGCGUAAUGGUUGCAAGCGGCCCGUCUUGAAACACGGACCAAGGAGUCUAACAUCUAUGCGAGUGUUUGGGUGAAAAACCCAUGCGCGAAAUGAAAGUGAACGGAGGUGGGAGCUUCGGCGCACCAUCGACCGAUCCUGAUGUCCUCGGAAGGAUUUGAGUAUGAGCAUAGCUGUUGGGACCCGAAAGAUGAUGAACUAUGCGUGAAUAGGGCGAAGCCAGAGGAAACUCUGGUGGAGGCUCGCAGCGGUUCUGACGUGCAAAU